GAUGAACGCUGGCGGCGUGCCUAAUACAUGCAAGUCGAGCGAACGGACGAGAAGCUUGCUUUUCUGAUGUUAGCGGCGGACGGGUGAGUAACACGUGGAUAACCUACCUAUAAGACUGGGAUAACUUCGGGAAACCGGAGCUAAUACCGGAUAAUAUUUUGAACCGCAUGGUUCAAAAGUGAAAGACGGUCUUGCUGUCACUUAUAGAUGGAUCCGCGCUGCAUUAGCUAGUUGGUAAGGUAACGGCUUACCAAGGCAACGAUGCAUAGCCGACCUGAGAGGGUGAUCGGCCACACUGGAACUGAGACACGGUCCAGACUCCUACGGGAGGCAGCAGUAGGGAAUCUUCCGCAAUGGGCGAAAGCUUGACGGAGCAACGCCGCGUGAGUGAUGAAGGUCUUCGGAUCGUAAAACUCUGUUAUUAGGGAAGAACAAAUGUGUAAGUAACUGUGCACAUCUUGACGGUACCUAAUCAGAAAGCCACGGCUAACUACGUG
This 497-nucleotide ribosomal RNA is filed under the name uncultured bacterium. RNAcentral describes it as "partial 16S ribosomal RNA". It matches the Rfam family "Bacterial small subunit ribosomal RNA", at positions 28 to 507 of the family's 1533-position model. The record is from RNAcentral.